This 576-nucleotide ribosomal RNA is filed under the name Saccharomyces cerevisiae (brewer's yeast). RNAcentral's name for it is "eukaryotic LSU rRNA". It matches the Rfam family "Eukaryotic large subunit ribosomal RNA", at positions 36 to 625 of the family's 3401-position model. Lineage: Eukaryota; Fungi; Ascomycota; Saccharomycetes; Saccharomycetales; Saccharomycetaceae. The record is from RNAcentral.
UUGCAUAUCAAAAAGCGGAGGAAAAGAAACCAACCGGGAUUGCCUUAGUAACGGCGAGUGAAGCGGCAAAAGCUCAAAUUUGAAAUCUGGUACCUUCGGUGCCCGAGUUGUAAUUUGGAGAGGGCAACUUUGGGGCCGUUCCUUGUCUAUGUUCCUUGGAACAGGACGUCAUAGAGGGUGAGAAUCCCGUGUGGCGAGGAGUGCGGUUCUUUGUAAAGUGCCUUCGAAGAGUCGAGUUGUUUGGGAAUGCAGCUCUAAGUGGGUGGUAAAUUCCAUCUAAAGCUAAAUAUUGGCGAGAGACCGAUAGCGAACAAGUACAGUGAUGGAAAGAUGAAAAGAACUUUGAAAAGAGAGUGAAAAAGUACGUGAAAUUGUUGAAAGGGAAGGGCAUUUGAUCAGACAUGGUGUUUUGUGCCCUCUGCUCCUUGUGGGUAGGGGAAUCUCGCAUUUCACUGGGCCAGCAUCAGUUUUGGUGGCAGGAUAAAUCCAUAGGAAUGUAGCUUGCCUCGGUAAGAAUUAUAGCCUGCUGGGAAUACUGCCAGCUGGGUACUGAGGACUGCGACGUAAGUCAAGAUG